AUUUAUGUAGUUUAAUUAAUAUAAAACCUUACAUUUUCACUGUAAAAAAAAAUUUUUUUUCAUAAAUA
This 68-nucleotide transfer RNA is filed under the name Allacta bruna. Its description in RNAcentral is "tRNA-Glu". The record is from RNAcentral. Lineage: Eukaryota; Metazoa; Arthropoda; Insecta; Blattodea; Pseudophyllodromiidae.